GGACUGGGGUCUGAAAUGUUCUCCAUUGCUGGGGCUUUAGGAGACCCAAGUAUCGUUGGAUUACAGCUCAAGCCCAAUUUGCAUGAGCAGAGAAACAAAGGGUAAUUAAAUGAACCAUAACUUAUACAGACUUGGGUGAUCUCUACACAGUAGGCAGGAUUUGCCCUUGUGACAAAGGUUCAUGGGUUGUUUUUGUUUGUCUCUUGAUCCAGUGGAAGGUGAUCAACAAAUCUGCAAACUUGCAGUCUGUUAACUGCUCUUCAUGAAUUCUGCAGCCACGGCCACUGCAAUUGCAAUUAUAGAAUCGUAGAAUCAUUAAGGUUGGAAAAGACCACCACGAUCAUCAAGUCCAAAAGCUAACCCAUCACCACCAUACCCCACACUAAACCAUGACCCUAAGUGCCACAUCUGUCCUUCUCUUUAAAACCUCCAGGGAUGCUGACUCUCCACCACCUCACUGGGCAGCCUGUUCUAAUGGAUUACCACUCUUUCAGAGAAUAAAUUUCUCCUAAUACCCAACCUGAACCUCCCCUGGGUCAACUUAAGGCAAUUAACUCUCAUCCUAGAUACAAUGAGGCAUUCAGGAUGAGAUGUCCCUUUCUGGUGCUGGGAAUUGCAGUUCUUCUCAGUGUCAGUAGGUCCAUUCUCUGAAUUGAACUGUGAUGCCCUAGAAAAUUGAGUUCCUGUUGAAUAACCCAUGCAAGUAUCUUAGCCCAUUCUGGUCACCCAGGUCCUCCAGUUGUUCUACUCAUCUGUCUUCUGAACAGCUGGUGAUCAAACAUGGACAGGCCAGUCUGAACCUGACUUGAUCCUUCCUUUAAUCUAGUUUCUCAUGCAACAGGGCUCUGUGGCCACCGUGAAAUAAAAGAGAAUAAAUAAAUAACACCUGUCUUGGAAAUGUCUGUUGAUAGCUGACUCACAGCAGGGCUGGGGUUUUGCAAGCAGCAUGGUCUGGUUGUUCCUGCAAUUAGAGAGAGCUAAACAAAUGGAAAUGAGUAGGAGGAGGAGAUGAUCCUGAUCAGCACAACCCCGGAGCAAAGUGUGUCUCCUACUGCUUCAGCCAGGCAAAAAUUUCUGAAGGUGCAUAGAAAGGCAUCUAGAAAAUCAUUAAUUUACAUAUUCAGUGGUAUUUUACCAUCUACACUCCAGUCCUGACAGGAGUUGGGACGCCAUAGGGAAGGCAUAUUAGCAAAUGAAAGCUCCUGGGUCUGUUCCUGGCCCUGAGGUUAGCUGGUAUUCCUCCAAAAUAAAGUGGCUGAGUGCAAAAUACCAAUUGGAAAGUACGUCUAAUUUGUGAUAAGUUCUGCACCCUGUCCAGGAAUUGUCAGAGAUGGUCUUAACCAUUCAGGCAAAAACUGUGCUAAUAAUUAAACAACAUGGACAACUGUCCCCAUGCUGUAGGACAGCCCUUGAAACUAUGACUGAACUCUUCAUGUAUUAUUGGGAUAGACAUAGCUGCUGCUGUGACAGCUCUUUUUCAGAUUCUAGCCUCAGGGAAGCUGGAAGGUUGGUGACCUCCUCUGUAGCACAACUGGAUCCCCCUGCAAGCAAGUUAGGUAAUAUGGUACUGGGAAGCCCCUGGGGCACCAUUUUCCUUCCUUGAGCCAAAGGGCAGGUUCUCCAAAGGAUUUCAACACCUCCGUGUAACCUGGCCCCCAGGCUGCCCAUGCUGUGUUGCUGAAUCUGAAUAUCUCUGUGCCAUGCUGGGACUCCCAUGGUGAGCACCCAGAUACCUUCAGAGCACUCAGGAAAAGUGUGAGCAUGUGGGAGAUGGGGUCAGAGUCAAUGCAUCAAAGUCCUUCAGCAAUGUGAAACAUGAAGACUUCAAGCCCAUGUUGAUUUUCACCGAGCCCUGUAGAUUCAAAAAUGCACCUUGUUAAUCAUAUUGAAAAAUAGCACAAUUAUUUUUCACUUCUUCCUCAGAAAUAGGAGUCAAGUCAGGUUAAAGCAAACUGCUUCCUUGCCUAUGCAGAGCUUUGUACUUUGGCUGCAGGACACUCAGCUUUGGCUUCCCAUGCUGAUUUCCAGAUCAUUACAAAGAGUCAUCCCUGCAGGAGGACACCAUGUUGUGAAUCACACUGGGCAAUCCUUGUUUUCUGAAGUGGGUCUAGCUCUUUGGUUGCUGCCUCGUGACAUCGAGGAGGACUGACACACCUCCUCCAGCAUCCACAAUGGCAGGCAGUCCCUAUGCUUGGCAGUACUUCAUCUGUUGGGCAAGCGAUGUGGCUUACCCUCUCCACGCCCAGAAGCUGUAUGUCCAUUGUUGAGGAAUGAUGAAUGCUCAUGGGGUUAUCAGGGCUGACUUCACCAUCCUGUUAAUCCUGCUUCAUGUCAGCAGUACGGAUAGCCCCACUGGUUUGAAGCCAAUGUCAGAAACCUCAAAAAUACCUGAAAAUUACUACCCCCUACACCAGUACUCCCCCUCACCAUUUUUUUUUUUUUUUUUUGCCAUCAAAAAGGAUGAUACCAUGGGUUUUGGUGUCCCUCUGAACUUCCUCUGGCCAUGCCUUCACAGUGAUGAGCAAUGAGUAGUUGUAUCAGGUGCCUUAAAUGUGCAAGAUGCCCAUGACCUCUGCUUCAGGGCUGAUCUGUCCAGGACCUAAAGUUCACACCCUUCCCUUUCUCCAUCUUCUACAUGUUCUCUGAGUCUCUGCCUAUUCUUCUUCUGCAGCUCCAUGUCCUAAACCCCAGGUUGUGUACAGGUCAGUUCUCUUUCUUCAACCCCAUUUUCUUUUCUCAGCCAAGUCUUGCAGGGUGGAGGACUUGAGCAGACCAAGCAGCUUUUAUCUGGCGGAGGAUCUGUUCCUGCUUUGUCCUCCCUGCUCUUUGGUGGCUGGAUCUAUGAUGAUUCAUGGAGAAGUCUGCAGAUUUCCUGCACCAAUUUUCCUGGUAGCUCUUUUCUUAGAAGCCGAAGUGUGACAGGCAGUCAGAGACUCCAGAAGGUCUUGAAUUAUCAGCUCCAGCUCCACCUAAAUAGAUCAACAGACAGAGAAGUCAUACAGGCUGGGAACUUUACAUUUGAAUGCUAUCUAGAAGGACCUUGCAUUGUGUAGAAGGAGCACAAAUGUGUUUUUACACUUUUCUCAGGUGUAGCAAAGCUGGAAACCAAUUUACAAUGUGCCAGCUCCUGUUUUUGAACACCAAAGCCAUUGUUCUCUUGCUGCAGCUGCUCUCAAAAGUAGGAUGUGAAGCAUUUAGGACUGUAUAGGUAACCAGCAGCUUUUAUAGGCUACAGGAAAUCAUAAAACGUUUCCUGUUUAUAUUGUCAACCAUGAAUACAAAGCUAGAUCUAUCCUGACUGUAGACAUAAGGGAGUUCUCCAGGUCUAACCCUGGAAAGGCACUUGGCAGUCAUCCACACAGUGAAGCCAUUAAUUUAUGCUACUCAUUGCCAUUUUGCUUUGAGUAGAUGCCUUUGCUGAACUAUCUGGCCAUAGAUGUGUUGUAGUAGUGCUACACUGAUAGUACUGCUAGCCUGACCAUAGAGACAUUAAAGCAUUAAAGGCAAUAAAUGGGAUGAAUUGCCUUAGUGGUGCUUUCACUCAUCUUCAGACCCAUCAGACCAGCCUGAAGGCAAUGCUGAGGUGAGAAAACAACCAACGUGCAUUCCUAUCCUGUCAAAUAAUACAUGAUCCCUGCCCAUCUUUUCAAAUUGUUGUCUUCAUCAUCACUCAGUCCAAACGCAGGAGAGAUAUAUAUCCUGUCCCCAGAUGAAGGUGCUUUUCCUGGGCUGUGAAGACAACUGAGAGAAGAUGAAAGCUUCCCUCCUUGCCCUUCUGGCUUUGGUCCUAUGUGCAUAUCAAGCAAAAGCCCUAUAUUGCUACACCUGUGAGUGGGAACAAAGCAACUGGAGCUGUCUGAAGGCUAAGAAGUGUGCAGACAAGGAUAAGUACUGUGUGACGAAUGUUGCCUCUGUAGGAAUAGGUAUGUGCUGUCAGUGCACAGGGGCUCAGGAAUGGAAAGUGGGGUUUUGGCUCGAUUUGUAUGGUUGCCCUUUGUGAAUGGAUGAGUUGAGGAAUCAUGGGGAAGGACAUAUGGAAGGAGGAGAUUUUGAUAGCCCAAUCUGGCAGUGCUUAAGUUAGCAGAGUUUGGAAAAUUCCUCCCCAGCACAGCUUGAGAUCUUCCUUCUUGUUUUAUGCUUGCGUGGCAAAGGAUACUGAAAUAGGUCUAGUGAGUUGCAGAAGGGAAUAAAACCUGGCAAUGUGCUUUCAAUCCAGGCAAGAACAUUCCUUCAUGGAGCUUCAUGGAGCUGGACUCAGUAUUCCUUGUGGAUCCCUUCCACCUCAGGAUAUUAUAUGAUUCUAUGUAUGCCACCAUUGUACACCUAAUAAAGACUCAACAUGAGGAUCUAUGCUGGGAAGUGCUGGAUGCACAUUAGAUAUAUUAAAUGGUCCUGGCAAUCACUGAGUGGGUGAGAUUGUGAAGGGUCUUAUUGACCGUGCUGGUCCUCAGGACAGGAGGGCAUAUUAGUUCCUCUUCUAGAAGACUGAAAGGUUCUUGGGAAGACCAUCACUAAUACUGGUCUCCCCUUUCUCCUUUGAUCAAGGUUCUUUGUCUUUCUGGAAGAGGAUCACCAAGAAGUGCUCCAGGACCUGUCCAUACCACAACUUCAGCCUGGGUCUGGCUACCUACACCUCAUUCUGCUGCCAGACCUUCUUGUGCAACCUGCAUGCCUGCCCAGGACCCAGGCUUGCUCGACCAUAAGAUGUUGGGAUUCCUGAAUCAGUGUCCUUCACUUGCUCAGAGAAAGGGGCUCUUGAAGGCCUGAAGAACGUGGUCAGAUUUCCCCAGAAGGACUGAACAAAGAAUGGUCAGGCAUUGGAACAGACUGUCCACGGAGGUGGAGGAGACACUGUCCCUAGAGGCUUUCAAGAACUAUGGAGAUGUGGCACUGAGGAACAUGGUUUAGCAGGUAUUAAGGGAAUGGGUUGGGGUUGGACUUGAUGAUCAUAGUGGUCUUUUUCAACCUUAAUGAUUCUAUGAUUUUAAAGUGGGGUUUUUCUCUGUGUGGGGGAGGCAGGAGAGAGCAGCUGUGAACAAAAGCAGUGCCUGAUGCCAAGCAUUGUGUUUACAGCUCAGAAAUGGGAGCAUGCUUCCCUGACCUGUGCAACCAGAGAAAGGAAAAUUUCCUAGAGCUGCUUUUCCCAUCAGAGAUCCUACUUCCCUCCCCCUAACCUGCUCGUGCUUUGGGCUGCAAAGGAAAGCAACAAUUGCAGCUGCAGCAGCAAAAUCCACCUCUCUACCAUGCCAGUGAUUUUGGGCAUGCUUCUCAAAUUGGGAAUGAGUCAAAACCCAGUACCCAGUGUAUGCAGUCAAACUGGGGCACGUUGUUCCAACUAUGCCCUUUUCUUGGCAAACACAAUGGUGUCUACAAACCCAGGGUGGUUUUUCCAUGCUGCUAUUGCUCCCUGGCAUGGUGUGGGUGGUUUUUGGUUCCCAUGCCCUUCCCAGGGCUGUCAUCCAUGAGGUUUUCAAAGCCUUUGUUUGUGCUAGUGACUGGCAAGCUGGGUUUUAGAGGGGCUGCUCCACCAAUAGAUGGCAUGGACUGUGGCAAGAGAGCUGCUCUCCCCAUAACCUGGAGCAGCAGGAAUGGGGGUGAAGAAACAAAGCCUGAGAAGUCUGCAGUAUGGUGCAAAGGCAGACCAGUUCCUUUCCCUCCCUCUGCUUGACCACCAGUGAAAAUAUACACCAUAAAACCAUAUUUUUUCCAUGAUAAUAAUAAAAUAAAAUAAAAACAAUCACACACAGCUCUGUCUCUUUGGCUGAUCCUCCUGGGAAAAUACACUCUUGUAUGCAGUUAGGCAUACAAUUGUGUUCCCAGAUACCCUGCUGUUUGUUUCUCUACCCUUCUGAAGACACACCUUUCAGGUUGGGAUGGUUUCAGCCAGGAUGUUUCCUCCAAUCACUGCUCCUUCACCUGCUAUCGGCUCACCUCUUGCAGAGAUAGCCCUGUUGUCCUUGCUCUCCCUGUCUGCCUUUGAGGAUGCGGUUGUGGAGGUUUCAGCAUGGCUAUUAUCCAAGGUGUGAUGAGUUUCUAGAUGUAACAAGCACCUUUUUCUCACCAUGCAACUGGGGUUUUGACGCCUUGCUGGGUGAGCAGGAGUGGGUCAGGAGAGAAACUGGAGCACCCUGAUCUUCCCACGCCUGUGCUGAAUUUUGCCACUCUCAACUGAGCCUCACUUUCCACUCUCAGUUGGGUCUCACCUGCAAGAAAUCAGAACCAGAAUUCCUAAAACAAAUGAACUGAAGAAAGGUCGUCUAUGGAGCUCAUUACAGCUUUCCCCCAGAUGGAGGAAGGAUGUUUCCUCAUUUCACUCUCAGCUCUCAUCUAACCAUGGAAAUUUUAGCUGUCAGGUUGCACGUUGCACAGCAGAGGAUAUUUCCAGCCCUGAAAGAACCAUCACUCAAAUCAUUGGAUGAGUCAAGAAAAUUAAAAAAAAAAAAAAAGAAGAAGAAGAACAAUUUUGCAAAGCAUGACUGUUUCCUUGCCUUCUGGGGAAGAAGGGGACGUGUGGCAUGCCGGGUGCCUUUAUAAUGGGUAGGUAAGGGAAAUUAUAUUUCUGACAGAAGGUAAAUGGACAAGUACACCACGACUUUCUGGUGUCCCUGUGGAGGGUCUCACAAGGCCAGCUGCUACCACAGCUGUGUCACAGAUGAGUUUCUCUCACUUAUCCCUGGCCUGGAAGCUCCAAAUAACUGUUCCCUGCACCACCACGUGACUCUAAGAUCUUGAAUUUUAGGAGGGCUGAACCUCCAAAAAAUCCCACUUUCAGAGAAAUGCAAUGACAGAAUUACCAGCUGAGCUGUGUUACAAGUGUAGCUUCAAUAAACCUGUAUAAGAUAAUGUCUCUCCAAACACAGUUGUGGCCAGUGGUGUCCUCCUUGGAGAGAACUGGCCUUAACUCCUUAGAGGGUAUCUCAAGGGAUACCCAUACCCAGAGGGUGGUGACGCACUGGAACAGGUUGCCCAAGGAGGUUGUGGAUGCCCCAUCCCUGGAGGCAUUCAAGGCCAGGCUGGAUGUGG
Molecule: long non-coding RNA, 7023 nt
Organism: Gallus gallus (chicken)
Lineage: Eukaryota; Metazoa; Chordata; Aves; Galliformes; Phasianidae
Exons: 3
Source: RefSeq, a predicted model, not a curated record